Molecule: ribosomal RNA, 468 nt
Filed under: uncultured bacterium
Lineage: Bacteria
Description: partial 16S ribosomal RNA
Rfam family: Bacterial small subunit ribosomal RNA
Source: RNAcentral
GAUGAACGCUGGCGGCGUGCUUAACACAUGCAAGUCGAACGGAAAGGCCCUGCUUUUGUGGGGUGCUCGAGUGGCGAACGGGUGAGUAACACGUGAGUAACCUGCCCUUGACUUUGGGGUAACUUCAGGAAACUGGGGCUAAUAUCGGAUAGGAGCUCCUGCUGCACGGUGGGGGUUGGAAAGUUUCGGCGGUUGGGGCUGGACUCGCGGCUUAUCAGCUUGUUGGUGGGGUAGUGGCAUACCAAGGCUGUGACGGGUAGCCGGCCUGAGAGGGUGACCGGCCACAUUGGGACUGAGGUAGGGCGCAGACUCGUACGGGAGGCAGCGGUGGGGAGUAUUGCACAACGAGCCGAAGCCUGAUGCAACAACGCCCCGUUCGGAAUGACGGCCUUCGAGUUGUAAACCGCUGUCGCCUGAGACGAGGCGUGAGUGACGGUAACGGGUAAAGAAGCACCGGCUAACUACGUG